Molecule: ribosomal RNA, 2669 nt
Filed under: Salmonella enterica subsp. enterica
Lineage: Bacteria; Pseudomonadati; Pseudomonadota; Gammaproteobacteria; Enterobacterales; Enterobacteriaceae
Description: partial 23S ribosomal RNA
Rfam family: Bacterial large subunit ribosomal RNA
Source: RNAcentral
CCGUACACAAAAGCGCAUGUGCUGUGAGCUCGAUGAGUAGGGCGGGACACGUGGUAUCCUGUCUGAAUAUGGGGGGACCAUCCUCCAAGGCUAAAUACUCCUGACUGACCGAUAGUGAACCAGUACCGUGAGGGAAAGGCGAAAAGAACCCCGGCGAGGGGAGUGAAAAAGAACCUGAAACCGUGUACGUACAAGCAGUGGGAGCACAGGUUUACCUGUGUGACUGCGUACCUUUUGUAUAAUGGGUCAGCGACUUAUAUUCUGUAGCAAGGUUAACCGAAUAGGGGAGCCGGAGGGAAACCGAGUCUUAAUUGGGCGUUAAGUUGCAGGGUAUAGACCCGAAACCCGGUGAUCUAGCCAUGGGCAGGUUGAAGGUUGGGUAACACUAACUGGAGGACCGAACCGACUAAUGUUGAAAAAUUAGCGGAUGACCUGUGGCUGGGGGUGAAAGGCCAAUCAAACCGGGAGAUAGCUGGUUCUCCCCGAAAGCUAUUUAGGUAGCGCCUCGUGAAUUCAUCUCCGGGGGUAGAGCACUGUUUCGGCUAGGGGGCCAUCCCGGCUUACCAACCCGAUGCAAACUGCGAAUACCGGAGAAUGUUAUCACGGGAGACACACGGCGGGUGCUAACGUCCGUCGUGAAGAGGGAAACAACCCAGACCGCCAGCUAAGGUCCCAAAGUCAUGGUUAAGUGGGAAACGAUGUGGGAAGGCCCAGACAGCCAGGAUGUUGGCUUAGAAGCAGCCAUCAUUUAAAGAAAGCGUAAUAGCUCACUGGUCGAGUCGGCCUGCGCGGAAGAUGUAACGGGGCUAAACCAUGCACCGAAGCUGCGGCAGCGAACGUAUCACCCAAGACAACUUUACGGAGUUGACGAUUGACGGAGCGAAGCGACGUCAAAGCGUUCAUUAAAGUCGAGUUGGCUUAGGGAUACGUUCGUUGGGUAGGGGAGCGUUCUGUAAGCCUGUGAAGGUGUGUCGUGAGGCAUGCUGGAGGUAUCAGAAGUGCGAAUGCUGACAUAAGUAACGAUAAAGCGGGUGAAAAGCCCGCUCGCCGGAAGACCAAGGGUUCCUGUCCAACGUUAAUCGGGGCAGGGUGAGUCGACCCCUAAGGCGAGGCCGAAAGGCGUAGUCGAUGGGAAACGGGUUAAUAUUCCCGUACUUGGUGUUACUGCGAAGGGGGGACGGAGAAGGCUAUGUUGGCCGGGCGACGGUUGUCCCGGUUUAAGCGUGUAGGUGUGUGUUCCAGGUAAAUCCGGUUCACUUUAACACUGAGGCGUGACGACGAGGCACUACGGUGCUGAAGCAACAAAUGCCCUGCUUCCAGGAAAAGCCUCUAAGCAUCAGGUAACACGAAAUCGUACCCCAAACCGACACAGGUGGUCAGGUAGAGAAUACCAAGGCGCUUGAGAGAACUCGGGUGAAGGAACUAGGCAAAAUGGUGCCGUAACUUCGGGAGAAGGCACGCUGACACGUAGGUGAAGUGAUUUACUCAUGGAGCUGAAGUCAGUCGAAGAUACCAGCUGGCUGCAACUGUUUAUUAAAAACACAGCACUGUGCAAACACGAAAGUGGACGUAUACGGUGUGACGCCUGCCCGGUGCCGGAAGGUUAAUUGAUGGGGUCAGCGCAAGCGAAGCUCCUGAUCGAAGCCCCGGUAAACGGCGGCCGUAACUAUAACGGUCCUAAGGUAGCGAAAUUCCUUGUCGGGUAAGUUCCGACCUGCACGAAUGGCGUAAUGAUGGCCAGGCUGUCUCCACCCGAGACUCAGUGAAAUUGAACUCGCUGUGAAGAUGCAGUGUACCCGCGGCAAGACGGAAAGACCCCGUGAACCUUUACUAUAGCUUGACACUGAACAUUGAGCCUUGAUGUGUAGGAUAGGUGGGAGGCUUUGAAGUGUGGACGCCAGUCUGCAUGGAGCCGACCUUGAAAUACCACCCUUUAAUGUUUGAUGUUCUAACGUGGACCCGUAAUCCGGGUUGCGGACAGUGUCUGGUGGGUAGUUUGACUGGGGCGGUCUCCUCCUAAAGAGUAACGGAGGAGCACGAAGGUUGGCUAAUCCUGGUCGGACAUCAGGAGGUUAGUGCAAUGGCAUAAGCCAGCUUGACUGCGAGCGUGACGGCGCGAGCAGGUGCGAAAGCAGGUCAUAGUGAUCCGGUGGUUCUGAAUGGAAGGGCCAUCGCUCAACGGAUAAAAGGUACUCCGGGGAUAACAGGCUGAUACCGCCCAAGAGUUCAUAUCGACGGCGGUGUUUGGCACCUCGAUGUCGGCUCAUCACAUCCUGGGGCUGAAGUAGGUCCCAAGGGUAUGGCUGUUCGCCAUUUAAAGUGGUACGCGAGCUGGGUUUAGAACGUCGUGAGACAGUUCGGUCCCUAUCUGCCGUGGGCGCUGGAGAACUGAGGGGGGCUGCUCCUAGUACGAGAGGACCGGAGUGGACGCAUCACUGGUGUUCGGGUUGUCAUGCCAAUGGCACUGCCCGGUAGCUAAAUGCGGAAGAGAUAAGUGCUGAAAGCAUCUAAGCACGAAACUUGCCCCGAGAUGAGUUCUCCCUGAGACUUAGAGUCUCCUGAAGGAACGUUGAAGACGACGACGUUGAUAGGCCGGGUGUGUAAGCGCAGCGAUGCGUUGAGCUAACCGGUACUAAUGAACCGUGAGGCUUAACCUUACAACGCCGAAG